GAUUCAGUAGCUCAGCAGGUAGAGCACAACACUUUUAAUGUUGGGGU
Molecule: transfer RNA, 47 nt
Filed under: Phocaeicola coprophilus CAG:333
Lineage: Bacteria; Pseudomonadati; Bacteroidota; Bacteroidia; Bacteroidales; Bacteroidaceae
Description: Bacteroides coprophilus CAG:333 tRNA
Rfam family: tRNA
About the family: Transfer RNA (tRNA) molecules are approximately 80 nucleotides in length. Their secondary structure includes four short double-helical elements and three loops (D, anti-codon, and T loops).
Source: Rfam by way of RNAcentral